UACGGAGGGUGCAAGCGUUGUCCGGAAUCACUGGGCGUAAAGGGCGCGUAGGCGGCUCGGUAAGUAGGGGGUGAAAUCCUGCGGCUCAACCGCAGGGCUGCCUUCUAAACUGUCGAGCUCGAGCACGGUAGAGGCAGAUGGAAUUCCCGGUGUAGCGGUGGAAUGCGUAGAGAUCGGGAAGAACAUCAGUGGCGAAGGCGGUUGCCUGGAGCUUUGCUGACGCUGAUGCGCGAAAGCGUGGGGAGCGAUCCGG
This 253-nucleotide ribosomal RNA is filed under the name uncultured bacterium. RNAcentral describes it as "partial 16S ribosomal RNA". It matches the Rfam family "Bacterial small subunit ribosomal RNA", at positions 524 to 776 of the family's 1533-position model. The record is from RNAcentral.